GGGAUUGCCCUAGUAACGGCGAGUGAAGCGGCAACAGCUCAAAUUUGAAAUCUGGCCUCCCUUGGGGGUCCGAGUUGUAAUUUGCAGAGGGUGCUUUGGCGUCGGCAGCGGUCUAAGUUCCUUGGAACAGGACAUCACAGAGGGUGAGAAUCCCGUACGUGGUCGCCUGCCUUCGCCGUGUAAAGCCCCUUCGACGAGUCGAGUUGUUUGGGAAUGCAGCUCUAAAUGGGAGGUAAAUUUCUUCUAAAGCUAAAUACCGGCCAGAGACCGAUAGCGCACAAGUAGAGUGAUCGAAAGAUGAAAAGCACUUUGGAAAGAGAGUCAAACAGCACGUGAAAUUGUUGAAAGGGAAGCGCUUGCAGCCAGACUUGCUCGUAGUUGCUCAUCCGGGUCCGCCCGGAGCACUCUUCUGCGAGCAGGCCAGCAUCAGUUUGGGCGACCGGAUAAAGGCCUCUGUCAUGUACCUUCCCUCGGGAAGGCCUUAUAGGGGAGGCGUAAUGCGGCCAGCCCGGACUGAGGUCCGCGCAUCUGCUAGGAUGCUGGCGUAAUGGCUGUAAGCGGCCCGUCUUGAAACACGGACCAAGGAGUCUAACAUCUAUGCGAGUGUUUGGGUGUCAAGCCCGGGCGCGUAAUGAAAGUGAACGGAGGUGGGAACCCUCUCCGGGGGGUGCACCAUCGACCGAUCCUGAUGUCUUCGGAUGGAUUUGAGUAAGAGCAUAGCUGUUGGGACCCGAAAGAUGGUGAACUAUGCUUGAAUAGGGUGAAGCCAGAGGAAACUCUGGUGGAGGCUCGCAGCGGUUCUGACGUGCAAAUCGAUCGUCAAAUUUGGGCAUAGGGGCG
This 840-nucleotide ribosomal RNA is filed under the name Keissleriella phragmiticola. RNAcentral describes it as "partial 28S ribosomal RNA". It matches the Rfam family "Eukaryotic large subunit ribosomal RNA", at positions 71 to 925 of the family's 3401-position model. Lineage: Eukaryota; Fungi; Ascomycota; Dothideomycetes; Pleosporales; Lentitheciaceae. The record is from RNAcentral.